Cricetulus griseus (Chinese hamster) is the source of this 437-nucleotide non-coding RNA. NCBI's taxonomy places the organism in Eukaryota, Metazoa, Chordata, Mammalia, Rodentia, Cricetidae. The record is from RefSeq and is a predicted model, not a curated record.
UUCUUUCAGAAUACUAAGUCAGUGCACGGCACUCCCUCGAGAGCAUGCAGUGUCCCACCCCAUGUUUGUGAAUGUCGUCAUCAUGAACAGUGUUUUGGUCAAUAGCCAGGGAAAAGUCACGCAAUAAUGCUACCACAUCACCUACCAGGAACAAUAGGGAACAUGAAAGAGUAAAUGCACAUGGAACUCUGCAAUGAGUUGUACUUGGUUGAAAGUAUUGCCUGGGUAUGGUAACUCACAACUUGAAUCCGAGCACUUGGGAGGAUGAAGCAGGAAGAUUUGAAGUCAAGGCCAGCCUAGCUACAUAAUGAGUUUCAGGACAGCCUGUGCUACCAAAAACCUAUCUUACAUGACCAACCACAAGAUCUGUUAAGGUGGCUCUGAGGGUGUGGUGGUUUGAAUAAAAAUGGCACCCACAGGCUCACUGUUAGGAGGUA